Molecule: ribosomal RNA, 427 nt
Filed under: uncultured bacterium
Lineage: Bacteria
Description: partial 16S ribosomal RNA
Rfam family: Bacterial small subunit ribosomal RNA
Source: RNAcentral
GUGGGGAAUAUUGCGCAAUGGGGGAAACCCUGACGCAGCAAUACCGCGUGAGUGAAGAAGGUUUUCGGAUCGUAAAACUCUUUUAUUGGGGAAGAAGAAGUGACGGUACCCAAUGAAGAAGUCCCAGCUAACUACGUGCCAGCAGCCGCGGUAAUACGUAGGGGACAAGCGUUGUCCGGAAUCACUGGGCGUAAAGGGCGCGUAGGCGGUUUUAUAAGUCAGAUGUGAAAGGUACCGGCUCAACCGGUGACGUGCAUUUGAAACUGUAAGACUUGAGUACUGGAGAGGCAAGUGGAAUUCCUAGUGUAGCGGUGAAAUGCGUAGAUAUUAGGAGGAACGCCGGUGGCGAAGGCGGCUUGCUGGACAGAUACUGACGCUGAGGUGCGAAAGCGUGGGGAGCGAACAGGAUUAGAUACCCCUGUAGUCC